This 425-nucleotide ribosomal RNA is filed under the name uncultured bacterium. RNAcentral's name for it is "partial 16S ribosomal RNA". It matches the Rfam family "Bacterial small subunit ribosomal RNA", at positions 354 to 796 of the family's 1533-position model. The record is from RNAcentral.
GUGGGGAAUAUUGGACAAUGGGCGCAAGCCUGAUCCAGCCAUGCCGCGUGAGUGAUGAAGGCCUUAGGGUUGUAAAGCUCUUUCAGUGGGGACGAUAAUGACGGUACCCACAGAAGAAGCCCCGGCUAACUUCGUGCCAGCAGCCGCGGUAAUACGAAGGGGGCUAGCGUUGUUCGGAUUUACUGGGCGUAAAGCGCUCGUAGGCGGAUCGUUAAGUCGGGGGUGAAAUCCUGGAGCUCAACUCCAGAACUGCCUUCGAUACUGGCGAUCUUGAGUCCGGAAGAGGUGAGUGGAACUCCUAGUGUAGAGGUGGAAUUCGUAGAUAUUAGGAAGAACACCAGUGGCGAAGGCGGCUCACUGGUCCGGUACUGACGCUGAGGUGCGAAAGCGUGGGGAGCAAACAGGAUUAGAAACCCUAGUAGUCC